Long non-coding RNA from Glycine soja, 575 nucleotides. RefSeq lists it as uncharacterized. NCBI's taxonomy places the organism in Eukaryota, Viridiplantae, Streptophyta, Magnoliopsida, Fabales, Fabaceae. The record is from RefSeq and is a predicted model, not a curated record. The transcript has 2 exons.
GAAAAAAAGAAUAAGAAUAAAAAAGAAAGAAAACAUGCAGUAACAAAAAGAAAGAAAGAAAGAAAGGAGAAAAAAAAUAAUGCAUUUUGUGGUUUAUUGGACCCUCAAAGAGAAUCCAUUAGGUAAAAAAAGAGCACAAGAUAAAAGCCAAAAAAAGGAAGUUCUCUGAAAAAUCAAUGCACAGAGGAGGCAUGGGUCUCGAGGGUAGAAAACGGUUCAACCGACGACGCCAUUUGGCAAUUCUUUCAGAGAAGGAAGAAGGGUCCCCAGGUUGCUGAAUUAUUGACAAUCAAAAUUUCUAUUCCUUGGAACAUGGGGUCGAACCAAGCAUAGUCUUUUACGAAAGCUUUUUAUCAAGUCAAGGUAUAAGUGUGGAAGUAGCCAACUUGAGAAAGUUGGGGCAGAAGAUGGAUUGGGUUUACAUAGCCUCUUUGACUACUACCAACAUAUGAUUGAGCUAAUGACUUAAAAAAUUAGGAACCGCUGAUGUGCCCAUGUUUUAUUUCUAGUUGCACUUUGACUCUGACAGGAUGUAAUAAACAAUGUUGUUUUAGUGAAAAUUAAAGUUGAUUCAA